Long non-coding RNA from Paramormyrops kingsleyae, 1732 nucleotides. RefSeq lists it as uncharacterized. Lineage: Eukaryota; Metazoa; Chordata; Actinopteri; Osteoglossiformes; Mormyridae. The record is from RefSeq and is a predicted model, not a curated record.
UGUGGUAACGUCACUCGGGAGGAAAUGAAUCAGUCCCCAGACAGCAUUUAUCUCUGUGCUGGAUCCGUUUUCGAAUCACCAGAUUCGCGUAGCAGUCACACUCACUAUGCACCUCUGCGCCAGCUUUGCAGCAUAUUUGUCCACAAGCUCUGACUGACAGUCCGUCAGAAAGGUCCGUAUCUGAUCCGGAGCAGCAGCGCAGACCGGACCCGCGCUUUUUUAAAUCUCGCAGAUGCGCGUGUACGUGCCUCAGUAAGAGUUAAAUGAAGAGUCACACAACAACCAGUGAAGACCUGCUUGUGGUUCUUGGUUUUGUUCUAUUCCCUCUGCUUAUGCUAGUCAAGUUGAGGUCAAGCCGCCCAUCAUCUCUUGCAGACCGAGGCAGGAGGAGUCUCUGGGGAGAUGCUGAAGCCAUCUGUUUGAGGAUGACGCCCCUGAAAACAACACAGUGGAUCAGAGACUGUGAAGAAAACAGACUAGCGGAUUCUUGACCAUAUCAGACCUGAUACCACAUCCAUGUUGGAUACAAAGAAAUCGGCAGGUGUACCUUACUAAUGACAGAGAGGGAAGUGACCAGCUACAAAGUGAGGGCAACAUCCCCCAUGAAGAGGUGGCGGAUAUAUAUGCUACCUGGGAUAACGUCAAGAAAGACUCUCCAGACGAAACUGCCUGGGUCACACUGAGACGGCUGCCUGGUGUUGGUCAGGGAAGGGGACGGAGCUGAUUGGCUGGCAGCAGUCGAGUGGAAAGAACUACAGCAUGUGGAAAGAAUUCCCAUUUCCCUUGACUUGGGGAAAAUGAGCUGCUACAUGGAACCUGACAUCGAUUACAACGGAGCAUAACAGAAUGGUCACAGAAGAUUGCCUUGUAAGCUGUCCGCCUGGAUGAUCUUCUGAAAACAGACGAAAACGAGUCUAGCUGGAGACCCAGGUGCAGGAGAGCUCUUUUACAGACUUCUCUAUAAUUACAUGCAAAAGAGGUACAAUAACGAAAACUCAGCUCAUUGGUAUACAAUUGGAAACAGAUGCUUUUAGUUGAAUAACCAAGCAUUCGCUGCCCACUCCUGCUGGAGGCUGACCUUCUGGUUCCUUGUAAAGUUGUGUUAAUUGUUCCCACUUAACCUUGAUUGGUUUGAAAAACCAGCAGUCAGAUGGUUUUACUUGAAGUCAGCUGAUACCCUUGACCCCAUUGGAGGCCCAUGAAGAUGGUGGCCGGAGUCACAGUGGAUUUUUCUCUUCUGCGCUAUUAUCGCUGCUAAUACUUCCAUUCCUCCCACUCUCGCUCUUGUUGUCCCAUUUCUCCAUCUUGCUCUCAUCUUCUGUCUCUUUCUUUCUUUCUUUCUCUGGCUCGCUUACUCCCUCUCUCCCCUGGCCAAGCUGUCAGCUCAACGGGAAUCACAUCACGCCCCCAAAUGUACUGACAGAUGCCCCAGAGGAGGGAUAAGAGGUACAACAGUAUGUGUGGGGGGGUAUUUUAAGUGGGCUAAAAAUCGUUGGCUCAUCGCUGUCCCGUUGAGCUGCAGUUUAGAUCCAAACUAACAUUGACAUGCUGGUCUUAGUGUCUCUCUCUGCUGUGGGAUGUGAUCUUGUAAUGCCACAAUCUAUUGGUUACAAAUCCUGGGAGCCCUUUAUUUUAUUAUAAUAAUAUUUGGUAACACUUUACAUUGAGUGCACCUUCAUAAUACAUUUAUUAUGCAUUCAUAGAACAUUCAGUGCACCUUCAUAACACCUUA